Non-coding RNA from Cicer arietinum (chickpea), 1887 nucleotides. NCBI's taxonomy places the organism in Eukaryota, Viridiplantae, Streptophyta, Magnoliopsida, Fabales, Fabaceae. The record is from RefSeq and is a predicted model, not a curated record.
CACUAUAUAAUAGAACGAUCGUAACCCUUUUUUUUACCGAACUCAAUUUGCCGCGUCAAAUUUGCCUCAUUACAAUUUCUCUCCAAUUUUCAAUUCUUAGUUUCAUGAACGUAUCAUCGAUCUGUUUCUCAUAAGAUCGUUAGAGUUCUACAAAAUAUGUUUCACUUAUGAAAAUUCUCAUUCAAUCAAGUCGCGAAUCUGCCACCGUGAGAUAUCGGUUGAUCAGCGAAUGAUCGUGUGUUUUUCUGCGAGGUUCGUGUUUGAAUCGGAGCAAUUAACACGGAAUCAAUUGUAUAAUUGUAGAGUUUAUGAUAACAAUCGUAUAGGAUAUUAAUUAAAUUUUGUAUCCAUUGCAAAUUCGGUUGGCGAGAUCAGAAGUUUAGGCAUAGCAACACAAGGUAUUUGACAAUUUGUUGUGUUUCUAUGUUAUUAAUUUGUUAAUUGUGAAUGGAUCUUUGCUAUGUCAGGUGCGCUUGCAUAGCAGAUCCGAAAAAUCUUAAUAAAAUUGAAGUUAUUUUGUUUUGAGAGGGGAGAGAUAGGUUUGGGGAUUUUUAUUUUUAUUUUUUUCCCCAACCUAUUUUUCUUUCCCUCUGUUGUGCGUGUGUGUCUUGUGUCUUCUCCUUUCUCUUUUCUAUUCUGUUAUUUUUUUUCUUCUUUUAUUCUUCAAUGCACCCCACAACACCGCACAUGAUAUGAUUCUAAUCAGCAAUCUAUCGUCGUUACGAAACCCAAUUCAACAAGUAAUCGCCGACACGAUUAUUUUGUUAUAAUAUUGCUCAAUUUAUCAUAGAAUUAAGUAAUUUAUAAUCUGUUUUAUACUAAUGAUUAACUCACAUCCUGAAUUCAUGACAUUAUUUUACGGCGUAUUUGAUUAAAUUGAAGGAUAUGGCUGCAAUUUAAUUCUACGAUAUGUUGUUUGUUGUUCACGCUUAAAUUUGUAUAAGAAAGACAGGUCCAAUAUUGUUCAUCAAUUGGCUAUUUUAUUUUAUGUAAGGAAGAGAGGAAAAGGGUGCUGUCAUCUAUCUCGACCAGUUUCCCGAGGCGUACAUUUCAAUGUCAUUGUCGUUAUUUUUUGUAAUAGAUUUUGUAACUUAAAUAUUGUUGCAAUUCAGUCAAACUUUUAACCAAAGGAAUUUUCUAACAUGCACUUGGUUUUGUAGUGGUACACAUUCAACAAGUAUACUCAGAAGAGGGAAAAAUUACUGUCAAUUCAAUAUUCUAUAAUUUUUAUCGAACAUUGUUUCUAAGGUUUAUAUUUAAUGGAACUUUUAACUUCGUGCUGGGGACUCGAGUGAAAGUUGUGUGCAGUACAAGAGAUUUUGGCUUUAUGUCCCGCAUACACAAUAAACAUAUCCAAAAUUUCGUGAACAGUCUUGUAUCUUUGAUAGCCUUGGUCAGCCUUACUGAAUUUCUUCCACAUUGUUCCAUAAUCCUAGGAAUACUGCAUCGAGAUGGCAUGGACAUACAAUACAAGGUGUAGUGGCAAGGGGUUGUUGAUUUGGCUUAGUUUUUUAUGUUUAUGGAUUGACUAGUUUCUAGUGAUGUAUUGAGAUGUACAUAUAAUUAAUCAUCAUUGAGAUGGUCAGAGUAUCCACAAUCUACUUUGCUAAGUUUAAAUAAAAAGAUUGCUAAGUUUAAAUAAAAAGACUCACUGUAACAAGAGUCAAUCAUAUUAUGCUGGUUCUAAUUUUGGGGGUCUAGUUGGAGAUUGCUAGUAUUGGAAGUGGUUUAUUUUGAUUUUCCCAAUGAUGUGAAUCUUUUGUGGUAGUCGAGGGUUUAUUUAUUUUGGGUGAAAGGAUCAUGUAUAAAUAGAGCUUUUUAUCCUAUAUUUUUUAAAAAACAAAUGUGUCAAAGAUAUACUUUCAUAUGGAAAAAAAAUUGGAAUUA